RNAcentral lists this transfer RNA (69 nucleotides) under Prohamitermes mirabilis. RNAcentral describes it as "tRNA-Phe". It matches the Rfam family "tRNA". Rfam says of the family: Transfer RNA (tRNA) molecules are approximately 80 nucleotides in length. Their secondary structure includes four short double-helical elements and three loops (D, anti-codon, and T loops). The record is from RNAcentral. Lineage: Eukaryota; Metazoa; Arthropoda; Insecta; Blattodea; Termitidae.
ACUUGAAUAGCUUAUAUGUAGAGCACGACACUGAAGAUGUCGAUGAGGUGAUUUAUUUACCUUUAAGUA